CAUUAUUGAAUAAACUUGGUUGGGUUGUUGCUGGCUCUCCGGAGCAAUGUGCACACCUAGCGCCAAUCGUUUAAACCACCUGUGCACCUUUUGUAGACUACGGCGGCGCUUGCGCUUCGUAGUCUAUGUCUUUACAUAAACUCAAUGAAUGUAACAGAAUGAAUUUUCAUUAUUAAAAAAAAUGUUAUACAACUUUCAACAACGGAUCUCUUGGCUCUCGCAUCGAUGAAGAACGCAGCGAAAUGCGAUAAGUAAUGUGAAUUGCAGAAUUCAGUGAAUCAUCGAAUCUUUGAACGCACCUUGCGCUCCUUGGUAUUCCGAGGAGCAUGCCUGUUUGAGUGUCAUUAAAUUCUCAACCCCGAUCGGAUUUGUUUCUGAUUCGGAGGCUUGGAUCGUGGAGCGUGCUGGCCCCUGCCCGGGUCGGCUCCUCUCAAAUGCAUUCGCGGAAUCGACUUUGGUCCGUUUCGGUCAUCAGUGUGAUAACAUGUUGCGCUGUUGGCUAGGAUCGAGGUGCCGCAUACAAUGGUCUUCGGACAAUUCUAUAACAAUUUGACCUCAAAUCAGGUAGGACUACCC
RNAcentral lists this ribosomal RNA (576 nucleotides) under uncultured Basidiomycota. Its description in RNAcentral is "eukaryotic LSU rRNA". The stretch from base 191 to 344 matches the Rfam family "5.8S ribosomal RNA". The record is from RNAcentral. Lineage: Eukaryota; Fungi; Basidiomycota.